CAGUAGCCGCGGGAAUACAGAGGGUGCGAGCGUUAAUCGGAUUUACUUGGCGUAAAGCGUGCGUAGGCGGCUUCUUAAGUCGGAUGUGAAAUCCCUGAGCUUAACUUAGGAAUUGCAUUCGAUACUGGGAAGCUAGAGUAUGGGAGAGGAUGGUAGAAUUCCAGGUGUAGCGGUGAAAUGCGUAGAGAUCUGGAGGAAUACCGAUGGCGAAGGCAGCCAUCUGGCCUAAUACUGACGCUGAGGUACGAAAGCAUGGGGAGCAAACAGGAUUAGAUACCCCCGUAGUCCCUGUCUCUUAUAC
RNAcentral lists this ribosomal RNA (301 nucleotides) under uncultured bacterium. Its description in RNAcentral is "partial 16S ribosomal RNA". It matches the Rfam family "Bacterial small subunit ribosomal RNA", at positions 509 to 807 of the family's 1533-position model. The record is from RNAcentral.